GAUGAACGCUGGCGGCGUGCUUAACACAUGCAAGUCGAACGAAGCACCUUGAUUUGAUUCUUCGGAUGAAGAUUUUGGUGACUGAGUGGCGGAUGGGUGAGUAACGCGUGGGUAACCUGCCUCAUACAGGGGGAUAACAGUUAGAAAUGACUGCUAAUACCGCAUGAGACCACAGUACUGCAUGGUACAGUGGUAAAAACUCCGGUGGUAUGAGAUGAACCCGCGUCUGAUUAGGUAGUUGGUGAGGUAACGGCCCACCAAGCCGACGAUCAGUAGCCGACCUGAGAGGGUGACCGGCCACAUUGGGACUGAGACACGGCCCAG
This 324-nucleotide ribosomal RNA is filed under the name uncultured bacterium. RNAcentral describes it as "bacterial SSU rRNA". It matches the Rfam family "Bacterial small subunit ribosomal RNA", at positions 28 to 334 of the family's 1533-position model. The record is from RNAcentral.